GGARGGAUCAUUACCGAGUUUACAACUCCCAAACCCAAUGUGAACGUUACCAAACUGUUGCCUCGGCGGGGUCACGCCCCGGGUGCGUAAAAGCCCCGGAACCAGGCGCCCGCCGGAGGAACCAACCAAACUCUUUCUGUAGUCCCCUCGCGGACGUAUUUCUUACAGCUCUGAGCAAAAAUUCAAAAUGAAUCAAAACUUUCAACAACGGAUCUCUUGGUUCUGGCAUCGAUGAAGAACGCAGCGAAAUGCGAUAAGUAAUGUGAAUUGCAGAAUUCAGUGAAUCAUCGAAUCUUUGAACGCACAUUGCGCCCGCCAGUAUUCUGGCGGGCAUGCCUGUCCGAGCGUCAUUUCAACCCUCGAACCCCUCCGGGGGAUCGGCGUUGGGGAUCGGGACCCCUCACCGGGUGCCGGCCCUGAAAUACAGUGGCGGUCUCGCCGCAGCCUCUCCUGCGCAGUAGUUUGCACAACUCGCACCGGGAGCGCGGCGCGUCCACGUCCGUAAAACACCCAACUUCUGAAAUGUUGACCUCGGAUCAGGUAGGAAUACCCGCUGAACUUAAGCAUAU
Molecule: ribosomal RNA, 569 nt
Filed under: uncultured fungus
Lineage: Eukaryota; Fungi
Description: eukaryotic LSU rRNA
Rfam family: 5.8S ribosomal RNA (bases 197-350)
Source: RNAcentral